Molecule: ribosomal RNA, 552 nt
Filed under: uncultured archaeon
Lineage: Archaea
Description: bacterial SSU rRNA
Rfam family: Archaeal small subunit ribosomal RNA
Source: RNAcentral
ACGGGGUGCAGCAGGCGCGAAAACUUCGCAAUGCGCGAAAGCGUGACGAGGUCACUCCGAGUGCCGCCCGCUGAGGAUGGCUUUUGCCCGGUUUAACUAGCCAGGUGAAUAAGGGGAGGGCAAGUCUGGUGUCAGCCGCCGCGGUAAUACCAGCUCCCCGAGUGGUUGGGACGAUUAUUGGGUCUGAAGCGUCCGUAGCCGGCCGAAAAAGUUCCCCGUUAAAUCUGACGAUCCAAUCGUUGGGCUGCGGGGAAUACUCUUCGGCUUGGGGGCGAGGGAGGUCGGCGGUAGUCCUGGGGUAGGGGCGAAAUCCUAUAAUCCCAGGAGGACCACCAGUGGCGAAGGCGGCCGACUAAAACGCGCCCGACGGUGAGGGACGAAAGAUGGGGGAGCGAACGGGAUUAGAUACCCCGGUAGUCCCAGCUGUAAACGAUGCAGGCUAGGUGUUGGGACGGCUACGAGCUGUCCCAGUGCCGCAGGGAAGCCAUUAAGCCUACCACCUGGGAAGUACGGCCGCAAGGCUGAAACUUAAAGGAAUUGGCGGGGGAGCAC